Trifolium pratense (red clover) is the source of this 307-nucleotide long non-coding RNA. RefSeq lists it as uncharacterized. Lineage: Eukaryota; Viridiplantae; Streptophyta; Magnoliopsida; Fabales; Fabaceae. The transcript is spliced from 3 exons. The record is from RefSeq and is a predicted model, not a curated record.
AAUGAAACGGUUGAAUGAGAAAACCACAAUCAUGGUUUCUGAUGCACCUAGGCUGCUUCAUUAUGAGUGGAAAACAAUAAGGUUUGGCUCUUUGACUAUAGGCUUCUUGAAUAGAUUUCAAAGCAUAUGUUUCAGUUUCGCCGCCUUCCUUUAAAACCUUUGAAGAGCGACAAAGGAGAGAAAUGGAUUAUGCAGAUGUGAAAGAUAAUCUCUGUGCCCAAAUUUGGGUUAGAUGCGUUAGAUCACUAUACAUCCCUAAGAUUGGAGAGAAGGUUUUCUACUUCACCCAAGGGCACAUGGAGCAGGU